CAGUACCGUGAGGGAAAGGUGAAAAGCACCCCGGGAGGGGAGUGAAACAGUACCUGAAACCGUGCGCCCACGAGCAGUCGGAGCACCUUUAUGGUGUGACGGCGUGCCUUUUGUAGAAUGAGCCAGCGAGUCGCUGGCGCGGGGCGAGGUUAACCGAAAGGGAGCCGUAGCGAAAGCGAGCCUUAACAGGGCGACUUGAGUCCCGCGCCGCGGACGCGAAGCCGGGUGAGCUAUCCGUGGGCAGGCUGAAGCGGGGGUAAGACCCCGUGGAGGGCCGAACGCACGUCGGUUGAAAACGGCGGCGAUGACCUGCGGAUAGGGGUGAAAGGCCAAUCAAACCCGGAGAUAUCUCGUUCUCCCCGAAAUAGCUUUAGGGCUAGCGUCGCGCGUUCACCGCCGGAGGUAGAGCACCGGAUGGACGAGGGGGCUUCGCCGCCUACCGAAUCCAACCGAACUCCGAAUGCCGGCGGCCCAGAGCGCGGCAGUCAGAGCAUGUGGGCUAAGCUGUGUGCUCGAGAGGGAAACAGCCCGGACCGCCCGCUAAGGUCCCCAAGUUCCAGCCGAGUGGCAAAGGAUGUGCGUCCGCCCAGACAACCAGGAUGUUGGCUUAGAAGCAGCCAUGCAUUCAAAGAGUGCGUAACAGCUCACUGGUCGAGUGGACAUGCGCCGACAAUACACGGGGCUAAGCUGGACACCGAAGCGGCGGGAUUUUAAUUCAUUAGAAUCGGUAGGGGAGCUUCCCAUGGGCGGAGAAGCCGGAGGGCGACCGACGGUGGAGCGCAUGGGAGUGAGAAUGCUGGCAUGAGUAGCGAGAGACGAGAGAGUAACUCGUCCGCCGUGAACCCGAGGUUUCCUGGGCAAGGCUAAUCCUCCCAGGGUCAGUCGGGGGCUAAGGCGAGGCCGGUAGGCGUAGCCGACGCGCAGCAGGCAGACAUUCCUGCACCGCGCACGCGGCGCUACGACCGACGGGGCGACGGAUGGGGGUGGCUCGGCGGGGUUCUGGACGUCCCCGUGAUGGAGCGCGGCCCGCGGACCAGGGAAAUCCGGUCCGCAGAAGGGCGAGGCUCCGGACGAAGCGACUGAGCGAAGCGAGUGAGCCCGAGGUCCCUAGAAAAACCCCUAGGCAGGCGCGUGCGCGCCCGUACCGCAAACCGACACAGGUGGGUGGGUAGAACAUACCGAGGCGAUCGGGUCAACCAUGGUCAAGGAACUCGGCACAAUGGCCCCGUAACUUCGGGAGAAGGGGUGCCCGCGCGUACGUGAACCGGCUCGCCCGGGGAGCGGAGGCGGGCCGCAGUGGAGAGGCCCAAGCGACUGUUUACCAAAAACACAGGACUCUGCAGAAGCCGCAAGGCGACGUAUAGGGUCUGACGCCUGCCCGGUGCCGGAAGGUCACGCGGAGGGGUUAGCCGCAAGGCGAGGCCCCGAAGCCAAGCCCCGGUAAACGGCGGCCGUAACUAUAACGGUCCUAAGGUAGCGAAAUUCCUUGUCGGGUAAGUUCCGACCUGCACGAAAGGCGCAACGACUUGGGCGCUGUCUCGACCAUGGACCCGGUGAAAUUGCACUGGUCGUGAAGAUGCGACUUACCCGCGGAAGGACGGAAAGACCCCGUGAACCUUCACUGCAGCUUGGCAUUGGCCGCUGGUCCCGCGUGUAGAGGAUAGGCAGGAGGCAUCGAUCCGGAGGCGCCAGCCCCCGGGGAGCCGCCCUUGGAAUACUGCCCUCGCGCGACCGGCGUCCUAACCCGAGGCCGUCAACCGGCUCGGGGACCGUGCCAGGCGGGCAGUUUGACUGGGGCGGUCGCCUCCUAAAGGGUAACGGAGGCGCGCGAAGGUCCGCUCGGGACGGUCGGCAACCGUCCUUUUGAAUGCAAGAGUACAAGCGGGCUUGACUGCGAGGCCCACAAGCCGAGCAGGUGCGAAAGCAGGCUCUAGUGAUCCGGCGGCCCCGAGUGGGUGGGCCGUCGCUCAACGGAUAAAAGGUACUCCGGGGAUAACAGGCUGAUCUUGCCCAAGAGUCCACAUCGACGGCAAGGUUUGGCACCUCGAUGUCGGCUCAUCGCAUCCUGGGGCUGGAGCAGGUCCCAAGGGUACGGCUGUUCGCCGUUUAAAGCGGUACGCGAGCUGGGUUCAGAACGUCGUGAGACAGUUCGGUCCCUAUCCUCCGUGGGCGCAGGAGAAUCGAUGGAGGCUGCCCCCAGUACGAGAGGACCGGGGUGGACGCACCUCCGGUGAACCGGUUGUCGACCAACGGCACGGCCGGGUAGCCGCGUGCGGCGCGGAUAACCGCUGAAGGCAUCUAAGCGGGAAGCCGUUCCAGGGAUUAGUUCU
Molecule: ribosomal RNA, 2330 nt
Filed under: human gut metagenome
Description: bacterial LSU rRNA
Rfam family: Bacterial large subunit ribosomal RNA
Source: RNAcentral